CUUAUGGUGGUGGUGGCAGCUACAAAACUGUAGUGCCAGUUGCCUGCUCCGGUGCGGCGGUGCUGGCUGCGGGCGAAGGAGAAAAGGAUUCGUGAUUCUGCACUGGGUCUGGAUUUUUUGGA
Non-coding RNA from Arachis ipaensis, 122 nucleotides. The record is from RefSeq and is a predicted model, not a curated record. NCBI's taxonomy places the organism in Eukaryota, Viridiplantae, Streptophyta, Magnoliopsida, Fabales, Fabaceae.